CAUCCCUGUAUUUGGGGUUACUCUUAUGUGCGUCUCCCUUUUUCAAUUUGAGCGCUGCCGACAGUUGCAAAAUGUUUAUGAAUAAAAUAUCUCUUAAGAGCAACUAUUUCUUUUUCUUCACUUAUUCCUUACAAAAUAAACUCUUAAAAAAUACACACAAACUGACAUCUCAGUUAGACGUCGCACCCUUCUAACCCCCGCUGACCCAAGUCGAUUGGCCAUGUACAAAAAUCUUUACAUAUUCCUCAAAUUAAAUGUGUAUUAUUAGCAUUAACAAAUUUAGUAUGUAUGUACAUAUGUCAAUUUGUUUGGGACUGAGUAAAUUUGUUUAAAAUAUAGUCGGCGAACAUAUCAAACAAAAUAUGUGUGAUAAACUGUCCUAUUUAAUCCAACUUAGGAAAAAGGGAUGGAAUAUCAUAUCUCGUUCUGGCCCAACUGCACAGAACACAACUUGUUGUAAGAAGCGAGAUAAAUUGAAUACCCCUAUAGUAUCCUCUCGUUUCGACGCAACUGCGCAAUACCCAACGUUAUGCGACAGGUAGAGUGUGUUCAAGACGCACUACAAUAUGAAGCGAAGACACAAACCACGAAACACUUGAAAAAAUCAUGUAAAAUGUAAAACCAACAAUAAAAUUUUCUUAAUACUGGCGGUUUGAUACAUAUAUUGUAAAA
RNAcentral lists this small RNA (672 nucleotides) under Drosophila ananassae. RNAcentral describes it as "GF26233". The record is from RNAcentral. Lineage: Eukaryota; Metazoa; Arthropoda; Insecta; Diptera; Drosophilidae.